CGGCAUGGCAUUGGAAACUGGGCGGCUAGAGUGUGGUAGAGGUCUCGGGAAUUCCAGGUGUAGCGGUGAAAUGCGUAGAUAUCUGGAGGAACACCGGUGGCGAAAGCGCGAGACUGGGCCAUAACUGACGCUGAGGAACGAAAGCCAGGGGAGCGAAAGGGAUUAGAUACCCCUGUAGUCCUGGCCGUAAACGAUGGAUACUAGGUGUAGGAGGAUUCGACCCCUUCUGUGCCGUAGCUAACGCGAUAAGUAUCCCGCCUGGGGAGUACGACCGCAAGGUUGAAACUCAAAGGAAUUGACGGGGGCCCGCACAAGCGGUGGAACGUGUGGUUUAAUUCGAUGCAACGCGAAGAACCUUACCUGGGCUUGACAUCCUCGGAAUCCUUGUGAAAGCAGGGAGUGCCUUCGGGAGCCGAGAGACAGGUGGUGCACGGUUGUCGUCAGCUCGUGUCGUGAGAUGUUGGGUUAAGUCCCGCAACGAGCGCAACCCUCGUGGUCUGUUGUUACAGGUCGUAAGAUGCUGAACCCUCAGGCCAGACUGCCGGUGACAAACCGGAGGAAGGUGGGGAUGACGUCAAAUCAUCACGCCCCUUAUGUCCAGGGCUACACACGUGUUACAAUGGGUAGAGGACAAUGGGUCGCUUGGCAGCGAUGUCUGGCAAAUCCCACAAACCUCCCCUCAGUUCGGAUCGUAGUCUGCAACUCGACUACGUGAAGUCGGAAUCGCUAGUAAACGCAGAUCAGCACGCUGCGUUGAAUACGUUCCCGGGCCUUGUACACACCGCCCGUCACACCACGAAAGAGGGUUAUGCCCGAAGUCGGUG
This 824-nucleotide ribosomal RNA is filed under the name uncultured Lysobacterales bacterium. RNAcentral describes it as "bacterial SSU rRNA". It matches the Rfam family "Bacterial small subunit ribosomal RNA", at positions 616 to 1432 of the family's 1533-position model. The record is from RNAcentral. Lineage: Bacteria; Pseudomonadati; Pseudomonadota; Gammaproteobacteria; Lysobacterales.